CAGACAGUGCGCCUUCCACAGCCUUGGGGCGUUCUGCGGCCUGCCUGCUCCGCACUCUGCAGCGCGAACCGCCGCAAGGUAAGGAAAUGGCAGAAGAUUAUGUUUUAACGUCCAGGGGAGGAAGAGAAGGAAAACAAGUUUGAUAAAUCGGGAGAGCAAAUUCGCCAUACCCGUUCAAAGGGAUCAUCCAGGCAUUCAUCUAAAGCAACAUAGGGAAACCACGGAAAACAUAAAUCUGUAUGGCUAGACUGGGAUUGGAAGCGCCGUCAUCCAGAUGCCAAUACAUUGUCUUAAACACUACGCCAUCUCACUCGAUUUUCGAGGUUUUUGGCAACAGUGGCCACUUUCAGACAUCAAGUAUUUGAAUUUCGACUUGGAAGAUGUACUGUUGACUUGAUAGUUUUUUACACGUGUUCAGCUAUUGUGCUAGAGUUUGGACCUGAAGUAAUGGCGUUACCCACCGAAGAACACCUCGAGAAUGUAGCAGAAAAAUAUUUUCUGUUACGGAAAUUUCCAAACUGCACCGGAGCAAUAGACGGACGUUAUUGUUGACUUAAAUGCCCACCACACAGUGGAUCUAAUUAUUUCAACUAUCUGAAAUACUUUUCUGUAGUUCUGAUGGGUGUUGCUGAUGCCAAUAAAAAGGU
Molecule: long non-coding RNA, 647 nt
Organism: Schistocerca gregaria
Lineage: Eukaryota; Metazoa; Arthropoda; Insecta; Orthoptera; Acrididae
Exons: 3
Source: RefSeq, a predicted model, not a curated record